This is a long non-coding RNA of Nelumbo nucifera (sacred lotus), 919 nucleotides long. RefSeq lists it as uncharacterized. The record is from RefSeq and is a predicted model, not a curated record. Lineage: Eukaryota; Viridiplantae; Streptophyta; Magnoliopsida; Proteales; Nelumbonaceae.
AAUCACAAUUUUUAGCAGCAAAACACUGAUAUGCGCUUACAUCAGGAACUCCUGAAAAAGCGUCUGUAUCAGUUGUGACUCUAAGUCACAACCUUCAUGAGUCAUGACUCAUUCAUAAAAAGCCAAAGCAAAUGAGUCAUUCAUUUCAACUGUUAUCAAACAGUCCCUAGUUGUGUCGUACUCUUCUUGAGACGUUCAUUCAUUCAUUAUCAAUGCCCAUGCGAUUUAAGCUUCAUGGAUUAGUUUCAGAUUCAUUGGUUCUCUGCAUGAUUCUGGCACUAUUCCUGGAUCUCUUGGUGAGUCCUGUAAGUCUUCAUGUUCAUAUCAGAAGGUAAUUUUCCUUCCAAUGUCUUCCACAUGAAGUUGAAGAUUUUCAGUGGCAGCUUUUAUCUUAAUGUUGAUCUCUACCACCACCACUGACCGGCUGACCCACCCAAAAAAAUGAAGAAAAAAUUGCUGGACAGAGAUGGUGAACUUCCACUAGUUGAGCUUCACAUCAUGCUUCGUGUGUGCCUUCAACUAAUGAGUGCCUCUGUAAGCACCAUGGAGCUGGUAUUGGGUAUUGUAUACAUGUAGCCUACCCUUUCCUGUAUCUCUGGACUUUGUACUUGAGGCAGCCAUUUAGGACAAUUGGCAGACCAUUUCUGUGAAUUUCAGCCAUCCUGUUCCAUUCCACUGAAAUAGGACCAAUGUCAAUGUAUUCAUGUAUUCAUUUGCACUGUAAGAUUUGAAACUGUGUCCUUCCAAGUUCCAGACAUAUGCAGCAUAUACUUGUUUUAUCUUGGGUCACUUCCUCUCAGAAGGAUAAGAUGGUCUAUAUGUGUGUGUGUAAUUAUGUAUGUAUUUAUGUAUGUAUUAGGAAAAAAAAAAAGAUAAGGAUCUCAGGCUAACAAGCAUGAGGAUGUAGGCUUGCUUCUAA